RNAcentral lists this long non-coding RNA (286 nucleotides) under Salvia miltiorrhiza (redroot sage). RNAcentral describes it as "long non-coding RNA (SMIL_LNC001959)". Lineage: Eukaryota; Viridiplantae; Streptophyta; Magnoliopsida; Lamiales; Lamiaceae. The record is from RNAcentral.
ACUACUACAAAAAAGCUCAUAGACUACGUUUUUUAGCCGUAGUCUAUGUGAUUCAACAACCGUAGUACUAGAUGGUGUAGUCUAUUCCCAUCAAUAUAGACUACGUUGAUUACACCGUAGUCUAUAGUUACUUAUCUCUACACUUUUAGACGCACAUACACUACAUGAAUCAGACGUAGGUUUGUCAACUAGAAAAGAUAGUCUAUAGUAUUUAUAGACUACAUCAAUGGAUAUUUAUGACUACGGUUUUCUAUUUAGAUUGAUAGUCUUCGAGGUAUUUAGACUA